RNAcentral lists this ribosomal RNA (775 nucleotides) under uncultured Neocallimastigales. RNAcentral's name for it is "partial large subunit ribosomal RNA". It matches the Rfam family "Eukaryotic large subunit ribosomal RNA", at positions 24 to 645 of the family's 3401-position model. Lineage: Eukaryota; Fungi; Neocallimastigomycota; Neocallimastigomycetes; Neocallimastigales. The record is from RNAcentral.
UAUCUCUGUAGAGUCUGCAUAUCAAUAAGCGGAGGAAAAGAAACUAACAAGGAUUCCCUUAGUAACGGCGAGUGAAGCGGGAAGAGCUCAAAUUUGAAAUCUUCAAGGUUUUACCUUGACGAAUUGUAGUUUAAAGAAGUGUUCUCUGUUGGAGUUUCGGUAAAAGUUCUUUGGAAUAGGACAUCAUAGAGGGUGAGAAUCCCGUAUUUGACCAUUAUUUCAGCUGUGUGAUACACUUUCAAAGAGUCGGAUUGUUUGGGAAUGCAGGUCCAAAAUGGGUGGUAAAUUUCAUCUAAAGCUAAAUAUUGGCGAGAGACCGAUAGCGAACAAGUACCGUGAGGGAAAGAUGAAAAGAACUUUGAAAAGAGAGUUAAACAGUACGUGAAAUUGUCAAAAGGGAAGCGUUUGACACCAGUGUUGUUUUCUCGAAAAUCAAUUAAAAAUGGCUUGAUUUUGUGUUGUAUUGACCUUAAAAGCUUUCUUCACUUUUUUCAUGUCUUUUUUAAUGCACUUUUCGUUUAACAAGUCAACAUCAGUUUCUUUUGUUGUAAAAAGGUCAUUGGAAGGUGGCUUUCUUUUCGGAGAAAGUGUUUAUAGCCUUUGACUCCUGCAAUCGGAGAGACUGAGGUCUGCAGCGUAGAUCCCUCUUGGAUUAGAUUCAUUUGUGCUAAGUUAUAGCUUUUCAUAGACAACUUGUUGACUAUGUUUAGUCUUGUAGCUUACUCGCUUAUGCAAUUUUACCUACGCUUAGGAUGUUGAUCUCUCACAGUCGAGC